CUCUGUUAUUAGUUGACUGUGUGCUAAUAAUAGGACACUGGAACAUUUUCAUGCUUAUUAAUAGAAUCAUGUCAAUUUUCUAGAAAACUUGCAGUCUUCUUUUUCCACGAUAAAAAGUACAGCAUUCACCAUUCACACUUUAUAGUCAUUUUAAUAGGCAAUUACAAAGCCAUUAUAACUCUCCAUGUUCUCCUGCUAAUAGGAAAUACAGAGUACACUAUAUAUACACUGUUGUAUUGUUAAUUUUCCCUUCUCCAUAGCCAGGAAAAUGGUUGAAGGAGAAGAGCAGCACUUCUGAUUUGUGUUUACUUGGAAGUCCCACAGAAUUCAAUGGUAUUUGCUCCCCCGAAAGUGUGUUAUAGGUUGCAUUUAAUGUUAAACCCACCCAGAAUAGACCAAUUGAAAAUUAUGGGCAUAACUAACUUAGGUUGGGACGCGGGUGGCGCUAUGGGUUAAACCACAGAGCCUAGGACUUGCUGAUCAGAAGGUCAGCGGUUCGAAUCCCCAUGACGGGGUGAGUUCCCGUUGCUCAGUCCCUGCUCCUGCCAACCUAGCAGUUCGAAAGCACGUCAAAGUGCAAGUAGAUAAAUAGGUACCGCUCCAGCAGGAAGGUAAACGGCGUUUCUGUGCGCUGCUCUGGUUCACCAGAAGCGGCUUAGUCAUGCUGGCCACAUGACCCGGAAGCUGUACGCCGGCUCCCUCGGCCAAUAAAGCGAGAUGAACGCCGCAACCCCAGAGUCGGUCACGACUGGACCUAAUGGUCAGGGGUCCCUUUACCUUUAACUUAGGUCCAGAAAUGUUAAUGGGUCUACCCUGAGUAGAACAGCUGGUUACAAACUAUAGGACUUUACUGUCUUUUGGAGAAGUAAAAAUCCAGAUCAGUGUAUCUGAGAGCUAUUGGGCUAUAAUCAGGGUGUCUCAAGUGACUGUAUUGUAUUGAAGUUGCUGGAAAAGCAUGCCUGUAUUUUUCCAUGGGGCUUGAGCAGUGAUAUUUUUCUAGAAAAAGAGUUGCCAGAACUCAUCAUGAACUCCUCUAUUGUUCUCUUGCAAUGACAAUGGUGAUCACCUGAGAUGUGCCAAAACUGUGUUCUGGUAAGUUCCAGCUGGGAAAAAAGCCCUGGGCUUGAGAUGGAGACCUGCUGUAAAUUUCCAUUACAGAGGUGGAGUGAUCUAACUCUUUACAGCCCAGUCACAUGCAGUCACAAUACUUGGAUGGGGUUACAAGAUGUUUGCAUAUGUUAAUGAAGAAAGUCCUCCAUCAUAGACCACAUUGGUUUUUGUUCUCAACUGCUGAGAAGAACAGACGUGCUUUCUCCCUGGAAAAAGCAGCCUGAGGCAAAUAGGUUGGAAAUGGGAGAGAGAAGGAGGUUUGAAUAAUAAAGUCAUGUCUUUACUGAGAGUGGUAUAUAUCUGAUGCAAC
This 1420-nucleotide long non-coding RNA is filed under the name Podarcis lilfordi (Lilford's wall lizard). Lineage: Eukaryota; Metazoa; Chordata; Lepidosauria; Squamata; Lacertidae. The record is from RNAcentral.